Acyrthosiphon pisum (pea aphid) is the source of this 451-nucleotide long non-coding RNA. RefSeq lists it as uncharacterized. The transcript is spliced from 2 exons. NCBI's taxonomy places the organism in Eukaryota, Metazoa, Arthropoda, Insecta, Hemiptera, Aphididae. The record is from RefSeq and is a predicted model, not a curated record.
UAUUUGAAUCACUCGCAAAUCGCGAUUAUUUGAAACUCGAACAAAAUAUACAGACUACAGGACAGUCGUAUAGAGUUCUAUUCAUACAAUUUAAUAUAAAAUCACCAUGGAUAAGUGUAUUCUUUUCAGUAAAACAUCCAAAGUAUCGCCUCGCCACAUAACGUACAUUUUCAUUUAUUUCCAAAAAAUCAAUGAAAUAGAAGGGAAUAACGGCUAAAAAUGUUCGAAUUAAAUGAUCGUCUCAAUAAUUUCUACCUGGCAUAGAAUCUGCGGUAGGUAAUCAUUUCACAAUUAGUGAUGGUAAACAAUGCUCAGUAAAUUAGUUAACACGGUCAGAGGCUGUGUCAAAACAUAAUCCAAACCACUUGUCUGGGAUAGAGAAGUAAAAUAAAUGUUAGUGAUUCACGGCAAUAUUGGUACUACUCUGCGCACGACUAGUAAAUCGCAUCUA